RNAcentral lists this ribosomal RNA (358 nucleotides) under uncultured bacterium. RNAcentral describes it as "bacterial SSU rRNA". It matches the Rfam family "Bacterial small subunit ribosomal RNA", at positions 335 to 683 of the family's 1533-position model. The record is from RNAcentral.
ACUCCUACGGGAGGCAGCAGUGGGGAAUAUUGCACAAUGGGCGCAAGCCUGAUGCAGCCAUGCCGCGUGUAUGAAGAAGGCCUUCGGGUUGUAAAGUACUUUCUAGCAGUGAGGAAGGCGGAGUCGUUAAUAGCGGCCUCGUUUGACGUUAGCUGCAGAAGAAGCACCGGCUAACUCCGUGCCAGCAGCCGCGGUAAUACGGAGGGUGCGAGCGUUAAUCGGAAUUACUGGGCGUAAAGCGCAUGCAGGUGGUUUGUUAAGUCAGAUGUGAAAGCCCGGGGCUCAACCUCGGAAUUGCAUUUGAAACUGGCAGACUAGAGUACUGUAGAGGGGGGUAGAAUUUCAGGUGUAGACGGUG